UAAACCCUCCAAAAUAGAUGAUACAUAAACUAAUCACAAAUGCUUUGACAUAUAUUAUGAAAUGGUUUGCGUGAGUGAUGAUUUUUUCUCAUUUUUCUCGCUUGGAGGGACCAUUAAGAAACAUGAUCCCCACUGCUACUGGGUGAAGACGUAGAAGACUUAUCCUAUGUACUUCAAUAACUGUUAUGUGCUCAAUGAAGCUGUUCUGUUCACGCCACGGGGUAAUGAAAUGAAAAACAUGUGAAUGGCUAGGUCAUGUGUGGUUAUUCCCAAGCUCCUUAAUUGUACGUACAUAAAAAUAACUGCUCUCUAUCUCAAUGACCUUACCCUACCCGUGAAGCUGGAUUAAACACACAUUUCUACCUUUAGUUGUACAGUCGUGGGAGUCUGGUAGGAUACAACAGGACCGAUGGACAUCACUGCCGAAGGUCUGUACUCCAUAUCACAUAGGAGAUUCAUAUCACAUUGGAGAUGAACGAAUUAUAUAAAGAAAUAAAAACAAGACUGGGUUUGCAUACCGUUGUGGAGUCAUGAAACAUCCAGGGAUCGUGAGUUGGAAGGUUUUGUUUAGUGGGCGCAACAUCUGUGGUCAUAUGCCGGAGAGAGACAGAAGGGGAAGGAAUUAUAGGAGAAGGGAACAGACCCCAGGAGACGGGACACAACCCAACAUCUGUGGUCAUAUGCCGGAGAGAGACAGAAGGGGAAGGAAUUAUAGGAGAAGGGAACAGACCCCAGGAGACGGGACACAACCCAACAUCUGUGGUCAUAUGCCGGAGAGAGACAGAAGGGGAAGGAAUUAUAG
Molecule: long non-coding RNA, 802 nt
Organism: Eriocheir sinensis (Chinese mitten crab)
Lineage: Eukaryota; Metazoa; Arthropoda; Malacostraca; Decapoda; Varunidae
Exons: 2
Source: RefSeq, a predicted model, not a curated record